CGCGCAGGCGGGAUGGCAAGUCGGUCGUGAAAUCCUUCGGCUCAACCGAAGAACGUCGGCCGAUACUGCCGUUCUUGAGGGAUGCAGAGGAGACUGGAAUUCCCGGUGUAGCGGUGAAAUGUGUAGAGAUCGGGAGGAACACCGGUGGCGAAGGCGGGUCUCUGGGCAUCUCCUGACGCUGAGGCGCGAAAGCGUGGGGAGCAAACGGGAUUAGAUACCCCGGUAGUCCACGCCAUAAACGAUGACGACUAGGUGUGGGGUGGUUCAGUCCACUCCGUGCCGCAGCUAACGCAUUAAGUCGUCCGCCUGGGGAGUACGGCCGCAAGGUUGAA
Molecule: ribosomal RNA, 332 nt
Filed under: uncultured bacterium
Lineage: Bacteria
Description: bacterial SSU rRNA
Rfam family: Bacterial small subunit ribosomal RNA
Source: RNAcentral